This 253-nucleotide ribosomal RNA is filed under the name uncultured bacterium. Its description in RNAcentral is "partial 16S ribosomal RNA". It matches the Rfam family "Bacterial small subunit ribosomal RNA", at positions 524 to 776 of the family's 1533-position model. The record is from RNAcentral.
UACGUAGGGUGCAAGCGUUGUCCGGAUUUAUUGGGCGUAAAGAGCGUGUAGGCGGCCAGACAGGUCCGUUGUGAAAACUAGAGGCUUAACCUCUAGACGUCGAUGGAAACCGUUUGGCUAGAGUCCGGAAGAGGAGAAUGGAAUUCCUGGUGUAGCGGUGAAAUGCGCAGAUAUCAGGAAGAACACCCGUGGCUAAGGCGGUUCUCUAGUACGGUACUGACGCUGAGACGCGAAAGCGUGGGGAGCGAACAGG